GACGAACGCUGGCGGCGUGCCUAAUACAUGCAAGUCGAACGCUCAAGGAGGAGCUUGCUCUUCUGGAUGAGUUGCGCACGGGUGAGUAACGCGUAGGUAACCUGCCUGUUAGAGGGGGAUAACUCUUGGAAAAGCUAGCUAAUACCGCAUAACAGUUGAUGUUGCAUGACAUUUACUUAAAAGGUGCAAUUGUAUCAUUACCAGACGGACCUGCGUUGUAUUAGCUAGUUGGUGGGGUAACGGCUCACCAAGGCGACGAUGCAUAGCCGACCUGAGAGGGUGAUCGGCCACACUGGGACUGAGACACGGCCCAGACUCCUACGGGAGGCAGCAGUAGGGAAUCUUCGGCAAUGGGCGGAAGUCUGACGGAGCAACGCCGCGUGAGUGAAGAAGGUCUUCGGAUCGUAAAACUCUGUUAUAAGGGAAGAACGAGUGUGUAAGUGAAAAGUCCAGACUGGGACGGAAUCUUACAAGAAGGGACCGGCUAACUCCUU
This 494-nucleotide ribosomal RNA is filed under the name uncultured bacterium. Its description in RNAcentral is "partial 16S ribosomal RNA". It matches the Rfam family "Bacterial small subunit ribosomal RNA", at positions 28 to 506 of the family's 1533-position model. The record is from RNAcentral.